ACUCAAAUGAAUUGACGGGGGCCCGCACAAGCGGCGGAGCAUGUGGCUCAAUUCGAUGCGACGCGAAGAACCUUACCUGGGCUUGACAUGCGGGGUGAAGCCGUGGAAACACGGUCCUCCUACGGGAGCCCGCACAGGUGCUGCAUGGCUGUCGUCAGCUCGUGCCGUGAGGUGUUGCCUUAAGUGGCGCAACGAGCGCAACCCCUGUCCCAUGUUGCCAGCGGGUAGAGCCGGGGACUCAUGGGACACUGCCGGUGCCAAACCGGAGGAAGGUGGGGAUGAAGUCAAGUCAUCAUGGCCCUUAUGCCCAGGGCUGCACACAUGCUACAAUGCGUGGUACAAAGGGUAGCAAUCCCGCAAGGGGGAGCGAAUCCCAAAAAGCCGCGCUCAGUUCGGAUCGGGGUCUGCAACUCGACCCCGUGAAGUCGGAGUCGCUAGUAAUCGCAGAUCAGCAACGCUGCGGUGAAUACGUUCCCGGGCCUUGCACACACCGCCCGU
RNAcentral lists this ribosomal RNA (498 nucleotides) under uncultured bacterium. RNAcentral's name for it is "partial 16S ribosomal RNA". It matches the Rfam family "Bacterial small subunit ribosomal RNA", at positions 899 to 1397 of the family's 1533-position model. The record is from RNAcentral.